UUUAUGGAGAGUUUGAUCCUGGCUCAGGAUGAACGCUGGCGGCGUGCCUAAUACAUGCAAGUCGAGCGAACGGACGAGAAGCUUGCUUCUCUGAUGUUAGCGGCGGACGGGUGAGUAACACGUGGAUAACCUACCUAUAAGACUGGGAUAACUUCGGGAAACCGGAGCUAAUACCGGAUAAUAUUUUGAACCGCAUGGUUCAAAAGUAAAAGACGGUCUUGCUGUCACUUAUAGAUGGAUCCGCGCUGCAUUAGCUAGUUGGUAAGGUAACGGCUUACCAAGGCAACGAUGCAUAGCCGACCUGAGAGGGUGAUCGGCCACACUGGAACUGAGACACGGUCCAGACUCCUACGGGAGGCAGCAGUAGGGAAUCUUCCGCAAUGGGCGAAAGCCUGACGGAGCAACGCCGCGUGAGUGAUGAAGGUCUUCGGAUCGUAAAACUCUGUUAUUAGGGAAGAACAUAUGUGUAAGUAACUGUGCACAUCUUGACGGUACCUAAUCAGAAAGCCACGGCUAACUACGUGCCAGCAGCCGCGGUAAUACGUAGGUGGCAAGCGUUAUCCGGAAUUAUUGGGCGUAAAGCGCGCGUAGGCGGUUUUUUAAGUCUGAUGUGAAAGCCCACGGCUCAACCGUGGAGGGUCAUUGGAAACUGGAAAACUUGAGUGCAGAAGAGGAAAGUGGAAUUCCAUGUGUAGCGGUGAAAUGCGCAGAGAUAUGGAGGAACACCAGUGGCGAAGGCGACUUUCUGGUCUGUAACUGACGCUGAUGUGCGAAAGCGUGGGGAUCAAACAGGAUUAGAUACCCUGGUAGUCCACGCCGUAAACGAUGAGUGCUAAGUGUUAGGGGGUUUCCGCCCCUUAGUGCUGCAGCUAACGCAUUAAGCACUCCGCCUGGGGAGUACGACCGCAAGGUUGAAACUCAAAGGAAUUGACGGGGACCCGCACAAGCGGUGGAGCAUGUGGUUUAAUUCGAAGCAACGCGAAGAACCUUACCAAAUCUUGACAUCCUUUGACAACUCUAGAGAUAGAGCCUUCCCCUUCGGGGGACAAAGUGACAGGUGGUGCAUGGUUGUCGUCAGCUCGUGUCGUGAGAUGUUGGGUUAAGUCCCGCAACGAGCGCAACCCUUAAGCUUAGUUACCAUCAUUAAGUUGGGCACUCUAAGUUGACUGCCGGUGACAAACCGGAGGAAGGUGGGGAUGACGUCAAAUCAUCAUGCCCCUUAUGAUUUGGGCUACACACGUGCUACAAUGGACAAUACAAAGGGCAGCGAAACCGCGAGGUCAAGCAAAUCCCAUAAAGUUGUUCUCAGUUCGGAUUGUAGUCUGCAACUCGACUACAUGAAGCUGGAAUCGCUAGUAAUCGUAGAUCAGCAUGCUACGGUGAAUACGUUCCCGGGUCUUGUACACACCGCCCGUCACACCACGAGAGUUUGUAACACCCGAAGCCGGUGGAGUAACCUUUUAGGAGCUAGCCGUCGAAGGUGGGACAAAUGAUUGGGGUGAAGUCGUAACAAGGUAGCCGUAUCGGAAGGUGCGGCUGGAUCACCUCCUUUCU
RNAcentral lists this ribosomal RNA (1554 nucleotides) under Staphylococcus aureus. RNAcentral's name for it is "16S ribosomal RNA". It matches the Rfam family "Bacterial small subunit ribosomal RNA". The record is from RNAcentral. Lineage: Bacteria; Bacillati; Bacillota; Bacilli; Caryophanales; Staphylococcaceae.